CCAGGGUGGCACCAGAGGAGGAAGCAGACCCCGAACUGCGCUGAGCUAAGUCGUGAGCGGAAAGACUGACGCGGUCACAGCAGGCUGUCCCGCAGGCUGAGAUAGCCAAGAACCAUGAGAGUCCUCCUUCCUGUUCUGCUGAGCAUCUUGCUCUGUAUAGAGCCAGCUCAUUCUCUCAAAUGCUACAACUGUACCAAGGUACAGCAAUCCAGUCAGUGCACCUCUGUUCAGUGCCCGGGGUCAGCAACUCACUGUGGGAGUUUGGAAGCUGGAGAAAAAAAUGGGCCAGAGAACCAAAAGUUUCACUUCAAGGGCUGUACUAAUUCCUGUGAAAAUUUUUUCACGGAAUCAUUUUCAAAGGCCCAUAUGUUGAUCCCCCAAGCUAUCAUUGAAGUGGGUUAUUCCUGCUGUUCAAAAGAACUGUGUAAUGGGGCUGAUGGGAUCAGGAGCAGCCCCUUUGCUCUGCUAGGAGCACUCCUACUCAGCCUUGGACCUGCCUUCUUCUGGGCCAUGAUAUGGAGACACAGAGAAUGGAGGAAUAGCUCCCUAGGACAGGAGCAUGACUCAGAACUUUGGACCAGAAAAGACUUCAAGAUUCUAGAGACCUUCCUGAGAUAUUCACUGGUGGAUUCGAGAAAGCCAGGAUGA
RNAcentral lists this long non-coding RNA (648 nucleotides) under Sarcophilus harrisii (Tasmanian devil). RNAcentral's name for it is "lncRNA (ENSSHAG00000024000.1)". The record is from RNAcentral. Lineage: Eukaryota; Metazoa; Chordata; Mammalia; Dasyuromorphia; Dasyuridae.